Molecule: non-coding RNA, 72 nt
Organism: Phrynosoma platyrhinos (Desert horned lizard)
Lineage: Eukaryota; Metazoa; Chordata; Lepidosauria; Squamata; Phrynosomatidae
Source: the annotation of a GenBank genome assembly
AGCUAGGUGGCAUAGUAGUUUGAGUAUUGGACUAUGACCUUGAAGUCCAGGGUUCAAUUCCCUGUUUGGCCA